GAUGAACGCUGGCGGCGUGCCUAAUACAUGCAAGUCGAGCGAACAGACGAGGAGCUUGCUCCUCUGACGUUAGCGGCGGACGGGUGAGUAACACGUGGAUAACCUACCUAUAAGACUGGGAUAAUUUCGGGAAACCGGAGCUAAUACCGGAUAAUAUAUUGAACCGCAUGGUUCAAUAGUGAAAGACGGUUUUGCUGUCACUUAUAGAUGGAUCCGCGCCGCAUUAGCUAGUUGGUAAGGUAACGGCUUACCAAGGCAACGAUGCGUAGCCGACCUGAGAGGGUGAUCGGCCACACUGGAGCGGGGACGCGGUCCAGACUCCUACGGGAGGCAGCAGUAGGGAAUCGUCCGCAAUGGGCGAGAGCUUGACGGAGCAGCGCCGCGUGAGUGAUGAAGGUCUUCGGAUCGUAAAACUCUGUUAUUAGGGAAGAACAAAUGUGUAAGUAACUAUGCACGUCUUGACGGUACCUAAUCAGAAAGCCACGGCUAACUACGUG
RNAcentral lists this ribosomal RNA (497 nucleotides) under uncultured bacterium. RNAcentral's name for it is "partial 16S ribosomal RNA". It matches the Rfam family "Bacterial small subunit ribosomal RNA", at positions 28 to 507 of the family's 1533-position model. The record is from RNAcentral.